AUGGACGCGAGCGGCCGCCGCGGGAGGGUGCUAUGGCUCGUCAGGCUCCAGAUUGUUUUGAUUCUAGUCUGGUCUGGAGGAGCUAGUGCAAAUUCCGACGACGGCAAAACAUUGUCUCUGGAAAGCGCUGAUGCUGGAGACAAGGAUGUUUACCUUAGCCAUUCCUGCAUCCACGACGAGAUACUGCAUCAGCGGCGACGCGCUGGUCGGAAGGAGUAUUCUGUCAUGCCACAAGUAUACCAUGUGCCCCGAGAGAAAGUGGAGCGCGUAAGAGGCAGGCAAUUGUUGGGGGUGUCAUCUUGGCGUGCUCCACGGAGCAAUGUCAAGAAGCCAAUACGGAUAUACCUCAACUAUGAUGCUGUUGGGCACUCACCCGACCGGGAUUGUAAAAAUGUCGGUGACAUUGUCAAGCUUGGUGAACCGCCUGUACCAUCAGCACCAGGAACACCUAUCUGUUCUCCUCACGGAGACCCACCAUUGGUGGGAGAUUGCUGGUACAAUUGCACCUUUGAAGAUAUAGCUGGGGAGGACAAGAAGCAACGACUUCGGAAGGCACUGGGACAAACAGUAGAGUGGUUCAGAAAAGCUUUAGCUGUCGAACCUGUCAAGGGGAACCUGCGGCUCAGUGGGUACUCUGCUUGUGGCCAGGAUGGAGGCGUACAGCUUCCCCAUGCGUAUAUUGAAGAUGGUGUUGCUAAUGCUGAUUUAGUACUCUUAGUAACAACUAGACCAACAACAGGCAACACCCUUGCGUGGGCUGUAGCCUGUGAACGGGACCAAUGGGGUCGUGCAAUUGCAGGACAUGUUAAUGUGGCCCCACGUCAUUUGACGGCUGAAGCAGAAACAUUACUUUCUGCUACUUUGAUACAUGAGGUCAUGCAUGUUCUAGGCUUUGAUCCUCAUGCCUUCACACAUUUUCGUGACGAAAGGAAAAGAAGGCGUGAUCAGGUUACUGUUCAGGCUUUGGACGAAAAGCUUGGAAGAAUGGUUACCCGUGUUGUCCUUCCUCGAGUUGUAAUGCACUCUAGGCAUCAUUAUGGAGCAUUUUCCCAGAACUUCAGUGGGCUGGAAUUGGAAGAUGGCGGAGGCAGGGGUACCUCAGGUUCACAUUGGGAGAAAAGACUCUUAAUGAAUGAGAUCAUGACUGGGUCGGUGGAUACAAGAUCAGUGGUUUCAAAGAUGACUUUAGCAUUAUUGGAGGACAGUGGAUGGUAUCAAGCUAAUUAUAGCAUGGCUGAGCAUUUAGACUGGGGUCGAAAUCAGGGAACAGAGUUUGCGAUCUCCCCCUGCAAUUCAUGGAAAGGGGCAUACCGCUGCAACACAACUCAACUAUCAGGAUGCACAUACAAUAGGGAGGCAGAAGGUUACUGUCCUAUAGUUAGCUAUAGUGGGGACUUGCCCAAGUGGGCUCAAUAUUUCCCUCAAGCCAAUAAAGGUGGACAGUCAUCAUUAGCUGAUUACUGCACAUAUUUUGUUGCUUAUUCCGAUGGCUCGUGCACUGACGUAAAUAGUGCACGAGCACCUGACAGAAUGUUAGGUGAAGUACGAGGAAGUAACUCGAGGUGUAUGGCUUCAACACUAGUGCGAACUGGGUUUGUCCGUGGAUCUAUGACCCAGGGAAAUGGCUGUUAUCAGCAUCGCUGCACAAAUAACUCCUUAGAGGUUGCUGUUGACGGCGUCUGGAAGUCAUGUCCAGAAUCUGGUGGCCCAGUUCAGUUCCCAGGCUUCAAUGGGGACUUGAUUUGCCCGGCAUAUCAUGAAUUAUGCAACACCGUACCAGUCCAAAUAAGCGGCCAGUGCCCCAAGUCGUGCAGUUUCAAUGGUGAUUGCAUUGCUGGAACCUGCCACUGCUUCCCUGGGUUCCAUGACCAUGACUGCAGUAGAAGAUCUUGCCCAGACAAGUGCAGUGGUCAUGGUAUAUGCAAAGCUAAUGGGAUCUGUGAAUGCGAAAGUGGCUGGACGGGAAUUGACUGCUCAACAGCGGUUUGUGAUGAGCAGUGUAGUUUGCAUGGAGGGGUUUGUGACAAUGGUAAAUGUGAGUUUCGAUGUUCAGAUUAUGCGGGCUACACUUGUCAAAAGGGUUCGACAAUACUGCCCAGCCUGUCAAUGUGUCAUGAUGUACUGGUUCGGGAUUCUGAUGGGCAGCAUUGUGCACCAAGUGAACUCAGCAUACUACAGCAACUCGAAGCAGUAGUUCUUGUGCCAAAUUACAAUAGAUUGAUGCCAAGUGGGCGGACCUUCCUUAACUUCUUCAACAAUGCCAAUUGUGCAGCAGCGGCGAAGCGGCUGGCUUGCUGGAUCUCAAUUCAAAGGUGCGACGAGGAUGGGGACAACAGGCUUCGGGUAUGCUACUCCGCUUGCGAGUUGUACAAUACGGCAUGUGGGGCGGGUCUUGAUUGCUCGGACCAGACCCUUUUUAGCAAGAGGGAGGAAGAAGAGAAGGGCGUUCCAUGCACAGGAUACGGCGAGAAGAAGUCUUCCUGGAUAUGA
Molecule: ribosomal RNA, 2490 nt
Filed under: Triticum aestivum (bread wheat)
Lineage: Eukaryota; Viridiplantae; Streptophyta; Magnoliopsida; Poales; Poaceae
Description: partial small subunit ribosomal RNA
Source: RNAcentral